Non-coding RNA from Macaca mulatta (Rhesus monkey), 1100 nucleotides. The record is from RefSeq and is a predicted model, not a curated record. Lineage: Eukaryota; Metazoa; Chordata; Mammalia; Primates; Cercopithecidae.
CAUGUAUAUAAACGCCAUGCCUAAUAAUUGUAAUUCUUAAUUGUGCCAAUAAUAGUAGACAUAUUUGUUUUGGCUUCAGGGAAUUGAAGGAGCCUGACAGACAUUUUCAAGAAUCUGUGUGUAUAUUCUGCAAUGCGACAUUAAGAUAUAAAACCUGUUUUGGAAAGGCUGCAGUAUAGAGGAAAACACUACAUAAUCCUGGAGUUUGUUGGACUCAAUCCAAAGAAUUUUAAUGAGGAAAUGGAGUUACAAAGAAGUAUGUGACUUGCCUAUGGAGGCGCUGAGAUCCAGGCCAAGGUCACCUUGCAGCCAGGCUACUUUCUGUGGUGCAAUGAUAGAAUGUAAAACUUGUUGAUUGUGGGAAAGAAUCAACUUACUGCUGAUCCAGUAUAGACAUCUUAGUCGGUUUUAUUAACUAAUGUCAGGCAUGACAAUACUUUAUUUUCAAAUAGGAUUCUGGGACUUCUCUGGCUUCAGCCACUGGAAACUCCAAUUCUAAUAUUUGUGAAAAUAAAAUUCUGGUCAUAUGGCCAAAAGUGAACAGUAAGUAGCCAAAGUGAAACAUUAUUUUGUAGUCACUUUUAGUUUGUCUAUUAUACUGUGUUUCUUUAUUGCCCCUGAGCAAAUUAAAUUGGUCAAUUCAGUGGAGAAAAAUAAUCAACACGAAGCUUUGAAAUGACCAGUUGUUUAACUAGAAAAAUGGAAAAGUCUCAAUUUGUAGACACAGUCUAAAUGUGGAAAAAUCAUUAAACACUAAAACUCGAGGCAAACUUUACAAGUUCUCUUUCUAAAUUAAAAUCACAAUUAAUAUUAUGAGUCAUUACACUAUAGAGCUAGAUAUAAAUGUAAUUAAUUGAUGUUAGAAAUAUCAUACAAUUUAAUAGAAUUAUUUUACCAAUAGACUUGCAAUUGAGACUCCUUACUAUAAAAUAAGUCAUUUUGAUGGACUUUUUAGGGGGGGAAUCGUAAUAGACAGAGUUAAUAUGUAUUAUUUAUUCCCAGCAAUGUUUUUUAUUAUGCACAUGGGCCCAAAGGCUGAAGCAAUGGACAAGAAUUUUUAAAAAUAAAUUGAAAGAAUAAAUAAAUGAAAUAAAAUUAAA